UACGUAAGUGGCAAGCGUUGUCCGGAUUUACUGGGCGUAAAGAGCGCGCAGGCGGUCGAUUAAGUCGAGUGUGAAAGCCCCCGGCUCAACUGGGGAGGGUCAUUUGAUACUGGUCGACUCGAAGGCAGGAGAGGGAAGUGGAAUUCCCGGUGUAGUGGUGAAAUGCGUAGAUAUCUGGAGGAACACCGGUGGCGAAGGCGGCAUCCUGGACCAACACUGACACUGAGGAGCGAAAGCCAGGGGAGCAAACGGG
RNAcentral lists this ribosomal RNA (253 nucleotides) under uncultured bacterium. RNAcentral describes it as "partial 16S ribosomal RNA". It matches the Rfam family "Bacterial small subunit ribosomal RNA", at positions 524 to 776 of the family's 1533-position model. The record is from RNAcentral.